This 460-nucleotide ribosomal RNA is filed under the name uncultured bacterium. RNAcentral describes it as "partial 16S ribosomal RNA". It matches the Rfam family "Bacterial small subunit ribosomal RNA", at positions 338 to 795 of the family's 1533-position model. The record is from RNAcentral.
CCUACGGGUGGCAGCAGUGAGGAAUAUUGGUCAAUGGGCGCGAGCCUGAACCAGCCAAGUCGCGUGAGGGAGGACGGCCCUACGGGUUGUAAACCUCUUUUGCCGGGGAGCAACGGGCGUCACGUGUGGCGCCACUGAGAGUACCCGGAGAAAAAGCAUCGGGUAACUCGGUGCAAGCAGCCGCGUUAAUACGGAGGAUGCGAGCGUUAUCCGGGUUUGUUGGGUUUAAAGGGUGCGGAGGCGGGUCGUUAAGUGAGUGGUCAAAUUGGGGGGCUCAACCCCUUCCCGCCGGUGGAACUGGCGUGCUUGAGUGGGAGGGAGGUAGGCGGAAUGCGGGGUGUAGCGGGGAAAUGCAUAGAUAUCACGAAGAACCCCGAUUGCGAAGGCAGCAUGCCGGCUUCCGACUGACGCUGAAGCACGAAAGCGUGGGGAUCGAACAGGAUUAGAUACCCGUGUAGUC